RNAcentral lists this ribosomal RNA (468 nucleotides) under uncultured bacterium. Its description in RNAcentral is "partial 16S ribosomal RNA". It matches the Rfam family "Bacterial small subunit ribosomal RNA", at positions 28 to 507 of the family's 1533-position model. The record is from RNAcentral.
GACGAACGCUGGCGGCGUGCUUAACACAUGCAAGUCGAACGGAAAGGCCCUGCUUUUGUGGGGUGCUCGAGUGGCGAACGGGUGAGUAACACGUGUGUAACCUGCCCUUGACUUUGGGAUAACUUCAGGAAACUGGGGCUAAUACCGGAUAGGAGCUCCUGCUGCAUGGUGGGGGUUGGAAAGUUUCGGCGGUUGGGGCUGGACUCGCGGCUUAUCAGCUUGUUGGUGGGGUAGUGGCUUACCAAGGCUUUGACGGGUAGCCGGCCUGAGAGGGUGACCGGCCACCUUGGGACUGCGAUACGGCCCAGACUCCUACGGGAGGCAGCAGGGGGGAAUAUUGCACAAUGGGCGGAAGCCUGAUGCAGCAACGCCGCGUGCGGGAUGACGGCCUUCGGGUUGUAAACCGCUUUCGCCUGUGACGAAGCGUGAGUGACGGUAAUGGGUAAAGAAGCACCGGCUAACUACGUG